GGGCGCAAGCUGAACCAGCCAUGCCGCGUGCAGGAUGACGGUCCUAUGGAUUGUAAACUGCUUUUGCACAGGAAGAAACACUCCGACGUGUCGGAGCUUGACGGUACUGUGAGAAUAAGGAUCGGCUAACUCCGUGCCAGCAGCCGCGGUAAUACGGAGGAUCCAAGCGUUAUCCGGAAUCAUUGGGUUUAAAGGGUCCGUAGGCGGUUUGGUAAGUCAGUGGUGAAAGCCCAUCGCUCAACGGUGGAACGGCCAUUGAUACUGCUAAACUUGAAUUAUUGGGAAGUAACUAGAAUAUGUAGUGUAGCGGUGAAAUGCUUAGAGAUUACAUGGAAUACCAAUUGCGAAGGCAGGUUACUACCAAUCGAUUGACGCUGAUGGACGAAAGCGUGGGUAGCGAACAGGAUUAGAUACCCUGGUAGUCCACGCCGUAAACGAUGGAUACUAGCUGUUGGGGGCAACUUCAGUGGCUAAGCGAAAGUGAUAAGUAUCCCACCUGGGGAGUAC
This 507-nucleotide ribosomal RNA is filed under the name Flavobacterium sp. GNCB-8. RNAcentral describes it as "bacterial SSU rRNA". It matches the Rfam family "Bacterial small subunit ribosomal RNA", at positions 373 to 883 of the family's 1533-position model. The record is from RNAcentral. Lineage: Bacteria; Pseudomonadati; Bacteroidota; Flavobacteriia; Flavobacteriales; Flavobacteriaceae.